Long non-coding RNA from Phalaenopsis equestris, 1240 nucleotides. RefSeq lists it as uncharacterized. The transcript has 4 exons. The record is from RefSeq and is a predicted model, not a curated record. NCBI's taxonomy places the organism in Eukaryota, Viridiplantae, Streptophyta, Magnoliopsida, Asparagales, Orchidaceae.
GUUCCUUCGCACACCGUCGUCACGUCAAGUCACUGAAGCCUUCGCUUGCGAACUAGCGAGCACAAGAACAGCUGUUAGGAUGACUUGAGGUUGGAGUAGCCACCUCAUUGACUUCUUCGUCAGUCCCCCAUUCCUUACAAGAGGACAGUGAAGUUAGUUUCUCGCUGUUCCUUUCAGAGCACUAGCUAUGUGUUGGUCAACACCUCCAUCACUACAUCGAUGCCUAUGGGGUCUGUAUUUUUUGUCCCUGCUUCGAUCAGGCCUCUUUCUCCUAACAUUUCAGCCCCUCCUACCAUUCCAGUCCCUCCUACACCAUCGAUUUUGAGCGGUCAGCCACCACCGCCCUUUUCAGAUGACUGAGGCCCCGCUGCUCCCAUUGCUUUGAGGCAGGACACCUUCGACCAGAGGUUCUACUGGUUGUCCGACUUAAUUUUGAGGAUCGUAUUAGGCAUCAGCUGGGUGAUAUGUUCAUAAUGGCCCAUAAGAAGGGAGAAUUGUAAAUCUAGGUGGGAGGUCAUAUGGGCAUAGUUGACCAGAUUAUGAGUCACUCUCAAAUAUCAAAGGAAAAGGGAUACAAACUAACAAAACCAGAGGACCAAGGGAGGCAGGGGAGGAAGUUCGUAAGAUUCACACAAGACUCAAUAUAUACUAUUUUUUCAUGUCUACAAGCUCAAGAGCUUGGUUGGCUGCUCACUAUUGCAAAGUUACAUCUCUAGACGCAUCGGCGCCCAAGGAUGCAAUAAUAAGCUCUGACAUAUCUCAGCGUGUCUAUAAUGAAUACAAGCACAUUCGAAACACACAGAGCCAGAACCAGACACAGAGCCUGACUAUCACUAGUAGUUGUCAGUCUGCUCCAGAGCAGUCUGACUACGAGAUCUUUAGGCAGGUUGCUUUAAGAAUGAAAGGGUAUACAACCUGGGCACAAAAGGUAUUGCCUUUAAGAUUGAGCACUCCCGAUCUGCUCAGGGUCUGAGGUCAUUGUCGUUGGACCAUGAUGAACUUGUCAGGCGUAUCAUUGUUAUGACUAAGGAGCUCCGUCUAAUAUGUGAGAGGUAGUAAAGAGUCGAGGCUUUUGUAGAGCGACUGGAGCAGGUAGUAGAUCGUCGUGGCAAUCAAUCUCUGGGUUCACUUCAUGAGAAAGAGGAAGAGGAUGAAGAUGAUGGUGCCCCGUAGGGGUUUAUGUGUUUUUUUUUCAUGUUUGGUAUUUGAACUUGUACAUUACAUAUAUAUGUUCUGUUUA